Cyprinus carpio (common carp) is the source of this 1005-nucleotide long non-coding RNA. The record is from Ensembl. NCBI's taxonomy places the organism in Eukaryota, Metazoa, Chordata, Actinopteri, Cypriniformes, Cyprinidae.
CAAGGGAUUACAAACACAUAUAUAAAAUAAUUACCAACUAUAGAUAAAUUCUACAUAAUUAACACACACAAUCCCUUAAAACAAAUUGAGAACAGCUACGAAUAAACACCAACAAAUAUACAAACAAACAAACAAACAAACAAAGAUCUCUAUGCAAACUCCGCUGAAACCAAAACAACUCUCGAGCGUGCUUGCGUCAUGACGUCGCGGCGUCACAUGACGGCAGCAGCACAGCUGAGAGGGGAGCGUCAAGGCGGCGUAGAGCGGAUUACUCUGUGUUUACAUUCCGUUUACCGUCUCUUUUCUGCGUUUACUCCGAUUUUACCACAACAGCGCGCAUCUCCUGCAUCUGACCGCCUGAAGCAGACUUUCUCACAAUUCUGCUACACGAGAAAACUGGAGAAGACAAGUCCAAACCUCCCAGUUACAAGAAAAAGGUACGGUAAAAACAAUUACUCGGAGGUGUCGAGUCAGCAGUGUUACGGUCACCUGCGGCCCUCCGCCGUCCCUCCGGCGCUGCCCCCCGCUGACCUGGAGCUGGAGAAACCCAUCGCUGCCAGCUCCAGCUGAAGACACCAGCGGUCAGCCAUCGAUCGCUGGCCCUGUGCAACACUGAGUCACAAACUCUCAUCAUCUUAAAAUAUAUACGCCGUUCAAAAGUGCAAUUCCUGAAAACUCUACUAUUUUCUUAAGAACCGCAUCUUUUUUUUUUUAUCUUGAGAAGAAAAUAAGCUUAAUUUGUUGUUUUCAGAUUGCGUGACCUUUCUUGCCAAAAACACCUCGCGCAACACUUUUCAUUCGGAUUCGGCCGGAUUCACGAAAACAUGCAGCUUCAGAUGUUUACGAGCAAUUCCAAUAAGUUCGUAAGAGUCACAAAAACCUUCCUGAGAUAGAAGUUAAAGAUGAAUUCACAGAAAUCGGUAGCACUGUAUUUUACAGUCCUGUUCCACGUGUACAUACUGUGCUCUUAAUAAACAAUCCCAUAAUAACUGGGUACUAACCCUG